ACACGUGGGUAACCUGCCUUAUAGUGGGGGAUAGCCUUUCGAAGGGAAGAUUAAUACCGCAUAAGAUUGUAGUAUCGCAUGAUAUAGCAAUUAAAGGAGCAAUCCGCUAUAAGAUGGACCCGCGUCGCAUUAGCUAGUUGGUGAGGUAAUGGCUCACCAAGGCGACGAUGCGUAGCCGACCUGAGAGGGUGAUCGGCCACAUUGGGACUGAGACACGGCCCAGACUCCUACGGGAGGCAGCAUG
RNAcentral lists this ribosomal RNA (244 nucleotides) under uncultured bacterium. RNAcentral's name for it is "partial 16S ribosomal RNA". It matches the Rfam family "Bacterial small subunit ribosomal RNA", at positions 113 to 353 of the family's 1533-position model. The record is from RNAcentral.